UCCUGGCUCAGAUUGAACGCUGGCGGCAGGCCUAAUACAUGCAAGUCGAACGGUAACAUAGGAAAAGCUUGCUUUCCUGAUGACGAGUGGCGGACGGGUGAGUAAUAUUGGGAAGCUACCUGAUAGAGGGGGACGAACAGUUGGAAACGACUGCUAAUACCGCAUACAGCCUGAGGGCGAAAGCAGCGAUGCGCUAUCAGAUGCGCCCAAAUGGGAUUAGCUAGUAGGUGAGGUAAAGGCUCACCUAGGCGACGAUCUCUAGCUGGUCUGAGAGGAUGAUCAGCCACAUUGGGACUGAGACACGGCCCAGACUCCUACGGGAGGCAGCAGUAGGGAAUAUUGCACAAUGGAGGAAACUCUGAUGCCAGCCAUGCCGCGUGUGUGAAGAAGGCCUUCGGGUUGUAAAGCACUUUCGGAGGGGAGGAGAAUGACGUUACCCUCAGAAGAAGCACCGGCUAACUCCGUGCCAGCAGCUGC
Molecule: ribosomal RNA, 477 nt
Filed under: uncultured bacterium
Lineage: Bacteria
Description: bacterial SSU rRNA
Rfam family: Bacterial small subunit ribosomal RNA
Source: RNAcentral